RNAcentral lists this ribosomal RNA (271 nucleotides) under uncultured bacterium. RNAcentral's name for it is "partial 16S ribosomal RNA". It matches the Rfam family "Bacterial small subunit ribosomal RNA", at positions 524 to 788 of the family's 1533-position model. The record is from RNAcentral.
UACGAAGGGGGCGAGCGUUGUUCGGAUUUACUGGGCGUAAAGGGCGCGUAGGCGGCGGGUUCAAGUCGAGUGUGAAAGCCCCGGGCUCAACCUGGGAGGUGCGCUCGAGACUGGUCUGCUAGAGUUCGGGAGAGGGAGCGUGGAAUUCCCGAGUGUAGAGGUGAAAUUCGUAGAUAUUGGGAAGAACACCGGUGGCGAAGGCGGCGCUCUGGACCGAGACGUGACGCUGAGGCGCGAAAGCGUGGGGAGCAAACAGGGAUUAAGAAACCCU